Molecule: ribosomal RNA, 468 nt
Filed under: uncultured bacterium
Lineage: Bacteria
Description: partial 16S ribosomal RNA
Rfam family: Bacterial small subunit ribosomal RNA
Source: RNAcentral
AACGAACGCUGGCGGCAUGCCUAACACAUGCAAGUCGAACGGGAACGCCCGGCUUUUCUGCGGGGGGCGAGUGGCGAACGGGUGAGUAACACGUUGGUACCCUGCCCCUGUCGGUGGGUUGACUUCAGAAAGCUGGAGCUAUUACCGGUUAGGAGUUCCUGCUGAAUGGUGGGGGCUGGAAGGCUUAGGCGGUUGGGGAUGGACUCGCGGCUUAUCAGCUUGUUGGUGGGGUAGUGGCAUAGCAAGGCUUUGAAGGGUAGCCGGCCUGAGAGGGUGACCAGGCACAUUGGGACUGAGAUACGGACCAGACUCCUACUGGAGGCAGCAGUAGGGAAUAUUGCACAAUAGGCGGGAGCCUGCUGCAACCACGCCGCGUGCGGGAAGACGGGCUGCGCGUAGUGAACUGCUUUCGCCUGUGACGGAGCGUGAAUGACGGUAAUGGGAGAAGAAGCACCGGCUAACUACGUG